This 467-nucleotide ribosomal RNA is filed under the name uncultured bacterium. RNAcentral describes it as "partial 16S ribosomal RNA". It matches the Rfam family "Bacterial small subunit ribosomal RNA", at positions 28 to 507 of the family's 1533-position model. The record is from RNAcentral.
GGUGAACGCUGGCGGCGUGCCUAAGACAUGCAAGUCGAGCGGGGCAGGUUUAUACCUGUUCAGCGGCGGACGGGUGAGUAACGCGUGGGUGACCUACCCGGAAGAGGCGGACAACCUGGGGAAACCCAGGCUAAUCCGCCAUGUGGUCCUGUCCUGUGGGGCAGGACUAAAGGGGCGACCCGCUUCCGGAUGGGCCCGCGUCCCAUCAGCUAGUUGGUGGGGUAAAGGCCCACCAAGGCGACGACGGGUAGCCGGUCUGAGAGGAUGGCCGGCCACAGGGGCACUGAGAAACGGGCCCCACUCCUACGGGAGGCAGCAGUUAGGAAUCUGCCGCAAUGGACGGAAGUCUGACGGAGCGACGCCGCUUGGAGGAGGAAGCCCUUCGGGGUGUAAACUCCUGAACUGGGGACGAAAGCCCCGUGUAGGGGGAUGACGGUACCCAGGUAAUAGCGCCGGCCAACUCCGUG